CAUUCUCAUUCUCCGGUCAGAUUUCACGGGGCACUCAUCCACCAAUCACGUUGCCUACUUCGCUGACAUGGAAAUCUCUUAUUUCUCCCUUCCACGAUAAGCUUCCCAAAGAGUGCAUUUUCCAAUUCCUUUUUUUAAAUGCUUCACACAUACCACAGAAACAUGCAAGCUUCCAUAAUUAUUUUUCCCAUUCCAAUUAAUCUCUUCCAUCAAUGGCCAAUCAAAUUUCUUCACUUCUACUUCCCUUCUGCAGAUUUUGUGUUCCAAGGAAACCUCUGCACAGCUCCCUGAACAUGUAAAUUUCAAAAUCAAAAUUUGGUGGCUCUCUAAUCUGCCCAACCACUUUAUCCAGCUUAUUCACAUCUACUUUCCUCCUAUGAAUUAUUAUCAAAAUUUCUUCUUCAACUAGCUUUCUAGGCCUCAUCUCCUCCACGACCUCUUCCCUCGCCCAGCUUCCCCCACGCUAAUAACUCACCUUCCCCUUUCUUCGACCUCCUUCCUCACCCAGCCCUACCACUCCGAGGAAUUCGCGUCUUCCUUCUCUAACCUCCUAUGCUCUGAGGAAUUCGCGUCUGUUUAUAGACGCAUUAUACCCCAGGUUGGAGAAAAAUCUAACUGACGCUGAGUUGGUGUGGAUGAGAAGGGAGAGACUAUUUGAGGUUCAUAGGAAAAUGGACCAAUUAGAAUUUGAACAUGACUUGGGUGGCUUGGAUACUUGAAUACACCUUCCUCUUGCAUAGACAUGUUACAGAUUGGAUUUCAAAUAAUGGAUCAAACAUAUGAGGAAAAUGUUGAAAGCAGAGUUUAUGGCAAAAAAUUGGACAUGUUACUGUUUGGAUUGGUAACUGAUCAAGGUAAUGAGAUUUGGAUGCUACAGUUCUUUAACUGGAGCAGUUAGCGGUAACAAAAUGGGGAAGGUGCAGUGCAAUAAGAAGUGAUUCUUAGUUUGGAAUAGGUUGUUUCCACAUAACCUUCAAGUGAUUCUUUCGUUACUCUUUUUACUCUUAUUUAUUUAUAACCUUUAGUUUGUUUGAUUCAGGUAGAGAUUACAGAUGAAGGUUUCAAAGCCUGAAAUCAUCCAGUACUUAAGAGGGAAGAGGUGGUAUAAGAAGCCACAACUAAUCGGUCUCUUGAAGCUGAACCGUUUGACUAGGUGAAAAAUCUAUAGAGGUUUGUUUCAGUUGCAAGCGCAAAAGGCCAGAAUAUGGCAUAGAGCAUCAAGACAUAAAUAUUGGUAUUGAAGUUAUAUACGUUGCACCAAACAUAACAUGAUUUUAAGAAGAGUUGGUAAUGGGGAGUCGGACGAUUGACAUUAUUUAAGAAUAUGUUAGUUGCAUUAUUUGAAUUAUUAGAAGAAAAUUUCA
Lotus japonicus is the source of this 1364-nucleotide long non-coding RNA. RefSeq lists it as uncharacterized. NCBI's taxonomy places the organism in Eukaryota, Viridiplantae, Streptophyta, Magnoliopsida, Fabales, Fabaceae. The record is from RefSeq and is a predicted model, not a curated record. The transcript is spliced from 3 exons.